RNAcentral lists this transfer RNA (89 nucleotides) under Megaladapis edwardsi. Its description in RNAcentral is "tRNA-Ile". The stretch from base 1 to 69 matches the Rfam family "tRNA". Rfam says of the family: Transfer RNA (tRNA) molecules are approximately 80 nucleotides in length. The record is from RNAcentral. Lineage: Eukaryota; Metazoa; Chordata; Mammalia; Primates; Lepilemuridae.
AGAAAUAUGUCUGACAAAAGAGCUACUUUGAUAGAGUAGAUAAUAGAGGUUAAAAUCCUCUUAUUUCUAAGACAACGAGCAUAUUUCUA